UAAUACCGGCGGCUCGAGUGGUGGCCACUUUUAUUGGGCUUAAAGCGUCCGUAGCUGGAUUCAUAAGUCUCCUGGGAAAUCCGCCGGCUUAACCGGUGGGCGUCCGGGAGAUACUGUGAAUCUAGGGACCGGGAGAGGUGAGAGGUACUCCGGGGGUAGGAGUGAAAUCCUGUAAUCCCCGGGGGACCACCUGUGGCGAAGGCGUCUCACCAGAACGGCUCCGACAGUGAGGGACGAAAGCUGGGGGAGCGAACCGGAUUAGAUACCCGGGUAGUCCCAGCCGUAAACGAUGCGCGUUAGGUGUACCGGUGACCAUGAGUUACCGGGGUGCCGAAGGGAAACCGUGAAACGUGCCGCCUGGGAAGUACGGCCGCAAGGCUA
This 381-nucleotide ribosomal RNA is filed under the name uncultured Methanobacteria archaeon. Its description in RNAcentral is "bacterial SSU rRNA". It matches the Rfam family "Archaeal small subunit ribosomal RNA", at positions 471 to 851 of the family's 1478-position model. The record is from RNAcentral. Lineage: Archaea; Methanobacteriati; Methanobacteriota; Methanobacteria.